Amphimedon queenslandica is the source of this 397-nucleotide long non-coding RNA. RefSeq lists it as uncharacterized. The record is from RefSeq and is a predicted model, not a curated record. Lineage: Eukaryota; Metazoa; Porifera; Demospongiae; Haplosclerida; Niphatidae. The transcript is spliced from 2 exons.
UAAGAUUAUUAGGUUGCCUAGCAACAUAGGCAAGUUACCCUUCCCGGGCCUUUUCCUUCACUGUUCGGCGUCCUAUUUCAACUCAUAACUCUAAAGUGACUUGUGUUCAUCCUCUGCAAUAAUAAUUAAAGGCAUUACAGAUACCUCCCUUACAGUCUGUCUAAUUUUUGAAGUAAAAUAAUAUUGAUAACUAUGGAAUACAAAAGAAGUAAUACCAGAAUUAACUAUUACCAACUAUUCUAUACAUUAUUAUGGAGGGCACGCAACAUAAAUGACUCCGAUGACAGAUUUGGUGACUGAUUUAUAAUCAAUUCAAAGUUUUUGCAAAGACCUUCGUUUUGUACCUUUUUCUUUACAGUUCAAUGAUUGGCACAUUUAAAUGUGAUAUGAAAGCAAA